Pomacea canaliculata is the source of this 524-nucleotide long non-coding RNA. RefSeq lists it as uncharacterized. The transcript is spliced from 3 exons. Lineage: Eukaryota; Metazoa; Mollusca; Gastropoda; Architaenioglossa; Ampullariidae. The record is from RefSeq and is a predicted model, not a curated record.
UGUUUGUUGUGUGUGUGCUAUUUGUUGUGUUGCGCAGAAACAAUUUACUUGCACUGUACAAGGGAGAUCACUCCAACAUCCAACCGGCUGAAGCAGGCGGCAACGUCAGUUACUGUGUAUGUGCUUUGAUUCUCGAUGUUAUAAUGUGAUUAUUUCAAAGUAAUUAGCAUGUGAUCUACUUGUGUUUCGGAGAGGUGUUCACCCGACUUUUCUUUAUCCAUGUUCGCAGUUCUGUGUCGGUAAAGGUGAAUACAGUUCUACUUCACUGAAGCUGUCUCACAACACCUGUCACCUGUAAACAGUAUCAAAUAUGGUGGAUUUCAAGUUGGUUACAUUGUAUGGGAAUUUAAUUCCUGUUGUACACCUCGUGGUCCUGGUCUGUCGGUAAGUAUACUAACCACACAUCUUCAAAUAGCUAUGAUAGUCUAAACUAUUCUCAGUGAAUGCAAAUGCACUAACAUAAUGUUACAAAAUAAACUGACUAGCCAAAUGUCGACUAAUUCAAAGUACUAACAAAAUAAUAA